Molecule: transfer RNA, 76 nt
Filed under: Clostridiales bacterium
Lineage: Bacteria; Bacillati; Bacillota; Clostridia; Eubacteriales
Also listed under: 1 other name
Description: tRNA-His
Rfam family: tRNA
About the family: Transfer RNA (tRNA) molecules are approximately 80 nucleotides in length. Their secondary structure includes four short double-helical elements and three loops (D, anti-codon, and T loops).
Source: RNAcentral
GUGGUCUUAGCUCAGUUGGCAGAGCGCCAGAUUGUGGCUCUGGAGGUCAAGGGUUCGACCCCCUUAGAUCACCCCA